CGCAAUCAACAAUGAGAUGAGGGACCUAAAGGACCUACAUUUCAUCCUUGUGUUCAUGCCAAAAUGAGUUCCAUCCAUGACUGAAACCUUUGUCUGGGUCCAAGCUUCGUCGGGCCGGAAAUUGUCUCCGACAGCGGUGGAGACCCAAAUACACCUAACACUGCACCAAUCUAUUCAUUAUCCCCUCAUAUUCCGUAAUAUUUCAGUGUUUCCUUCUUAUUCCUAUCAUAGAGUCUAAAUCGAGUGAAGCAUUUCAUGAACCCUAAAAAAAUGGAAUCAAAAUUAAAUGGUGCCAAGGAGGAAUCAAAGCCUCACACCUGAGGGAUUUGAUUCAUCAUGCUUGAUGCUACAUUAUGGAAAGCAAAAUUGAGCAAUGAGAGGAAGAAAUCAAGAUCACUAACCUAUGAGGCAGAGAAGGGCCCCAGUUCUGUUGAAGUUGGAGAAGAUGAAAAUGAAUACAAUUGAAGCUUCAGGCAUGCUUUUGGCCAUGUUUUGAAUGUUGGCAAUGUGUUUGUGUAUACUGAACUUGAUUAAUGUUUAUGCAAGGCUGAUACUAAUUCGGUAGGGUGAAAUUGGUUUGAAACAAAAUGGCAUGGCAUGAAGAGAUUUGAAGUCCUUAAAGAAAAAUGUGGUGGAUUGUUUGAAUGCAUGGACCAAAGUUCAUGGAGUCAAAUGGAUCAUGAAGGAAAAUCAUGGCAUGGUGGAAGAACUCCUUGAAAAGAGAAGACCAAAGUGGACUUAGGGGUUAGGGUAUUUGGUUUGACUUGGGUAAAAUGUUGACCAAAACGUCAACAGUUGACCAAAGUCAACUUAAAGUCAACAAUGCGUAUUUUUGUAUAGAACUUGGCUUUGUAUAUCUUGUAAUCAAACUUGAAAUGUUUGUAAUGAUUUUUUACCUUUGAACUGUGGCAUGUGACCUACUCUUCCUGAAA
This is a long non-coding RNA of Lathyrus oleraceus (garden pea), 932 nucleotides long. RefSeq lists it as uncharacterized. The record is from RefSeq and is a predicted model, not a curated record. NCBI's taxonomy places the organism in Eukaryota, Viridiplantae, Streptophyta, Magnoliopsida, Fabales, Fabaceae. The transcript has 2 exons.